This 297-nucleotide unclassified non-coding RNA is filed under the name plant metagenome. RNAcentral describes it as "partial contains 5.8S ribosomal RNA, internal transcribed spacer 2, and large subunit ribosomal RNA". The stretch from base 1 to 105 matches the Rfam family "5.8S ribosomal RNA", at positions 50 to 154 of the family's 154-position model. The record is from RNAcentral.
GAAAUGCGAUAAGUAAUGUGAAUUGCAGAAUUCCGUGAAUCAUCGAAUCUUUGAACGCACAUUGCGCCCCCUGGCAUUCCGGGGGGCAUGCCUGUCCGAGCGUCAUUUGCACCCCUCAAGCGCGGCUUGCGUGUUGGGCCAUCGUCCCGGCCCCGAAAUCUAGUGGCGGUCUCGCUGCAGCCUCCAUUGCGUAGUAGCUAACACCUCGCAACUGGAACGCGGCGCGGCCAAGCCGUUAAACCCCCAACUUCUGAAUGUUGACCUCGGAUCAGGUAGGAAUACCCGCUGAACUUAAGC